CCCCUUUUACUUCAAAUACGCUUAUCCCAUCAUACUUGCCACUUUCUGAAGUGGUGGACCCCAAGUCCAGUGGAUCCAGCAGUACGCUUGCUGGCCGUCUCUCCAGUGCCCCAAGGCACUUCAUACAGCAACAUGGAGUCUAAACCUUAGGAAAAUGGGAAUCUUAGCUGAUCAAAGAUUUAAGAGAGAAAGAAAUCUCAAGCAGC
Molecule: long non-coding RNA, 206 nt
Filed under: Fukomys damarensis (Damara mole-rat)
Lineage: Eukaryota; Metazoa; Chordata; Mammalia; Rodentia; Bathyergidae
Description: lncRNA (ENSFDAG00000023176.1)
Source: RNAcentral